This 162-nucleotide unclassified non-coding RNA is filed under the name uncultured Auriculariales. RNAcentral's name for it is "sequence contains ITS1". Lineage: Eukaryota; Fungi; Basidiomycota; Agaricomycetes; Auriculariales. The record is from RNAcentral.
AAGAUUCGGCUCUCGAGCCAAACCUCUCCAGCUGUGCGCUUUGGCUGCACGCUGUUGAACCUCGCACACCUUGUGAACAUUCCGGUUGUGAGUGGCCUUUGGCUGCUUACUUCCGCCUUUACAUAAAACUACAAAGUCUAGAAUGUAAAAACUAUAAAGUAA